RNAcentral lists this long non-coding RNA (647 nucleotides) under Sinocyclocheilus anshuiensis. RNAcentral describes it as "lncRNA (ENSSANG00000009452.1)". Lineage: Eukaryota; Metazoa; Chordata; Actinopteri; Cypriniformes; Cyprinidae. The record is from RNAcentral.
GUAAGGUGUGUCCUGAUACAGCAGGGUCAGGAAAAGGAUGCUUACACACACACACACACACACACACACACACACACACACUAUUAUAUGCCCAUAGUGGCUAAAGGAAAGGACCGCUAUUGUUGCUUGUGAGUUUAACAGAUGGAUCUCAAAGUGUGUGUGUUUGUGAGUGGGAGACGUUUGGAUUGAGAUCCAUUUGUCCAGUUCCACAGGAAAUGAGCUGCUAUGAAGUGUGUCAUUUCCUCCAUUCGUUCUGUUCAGCUUGUGAAUCAUUACAUGGAUGGUGAAGUGGACUCUUUUAUUUCCCGCUGACAUUCAGAGAAGCGAGUCACAGGCGUGGGGAAGGAUGUGUCUGGCGUGAUGUUCGCAGGCUGUUAUGCUGAUGUAUUCAGUACGGACACGCUGAUGGAGUCUUUGGAGCGACGGCUACAGAGGCCUUUGUUGGCCAAAUCCAGGACAUUACCCAGCAUCCCUCAGUCCCCCGCCGCCAUCCGUGUGCAGCAGUCGGAGAAAGUUUGUGAAUGUCAACAGCGCCCACGUGUUCCUUCCAGCCCUGGUGGUCUUGAAGCAUGUACGCUGCCUCCUGCAGGUAUUGCGUGUGUGUUUGUGUUUAUUUAUUAAAACUGCACACUGCACAGCCGUGUUAG